CGCCUCCUCCCGGGCGGCCCCACCCCUUCCCGCGCCUGCGCGGUGGGAGUAGCGCGGAGUCGGGUGGGGACGCUCGGAGGUCUUUGCUCCCGCGAGGCCGCUGCCUUCCGACCUCCGCUCGGAAGGCCCUUGGGCGUGGAAUGCGGUCUUCUUUGUGCCCUGUGCGCGGCAGGAAGAAGCUCUCCCCGGUAGACGGAAAACACCGGGAGAACAAGCUCUCCUAUAGAGAGAAAGAGAAUCCCAACCAGGCUUCCAGAGCCUGAUGCAGGACUCGAACCCACAAACCAUGAAACUAUGACCUGAGUUGAAAUCAAGAGGCAGAUAGAUGCUCAACCGACCGAGCCACCCAGGCGACCCAGCAUGGCAUCAUUUGACUGAAACACCAGCCAGUCAAAAUAGUAGUUCUGGCUACCAGUUUCUUGACUCAGCCACUGAAAAGGGAUCACUGGAAAGACCCAAAAUGGCCCUUCCAAAUUGCAGAGAAGAUUGAGCUAGAAGUGUUUUCUUCCCCCAGAGCACACUGCUGAUAUUUCUUGGCUCAUCUCACUGAGACCAGACAUGGACCCCCUGCACACAGGGUCAUAGGAUUUGUUCAGCUGUGACCAAGAAUCUCCAGUUCUAUGGCAUAGUAGCUGAAAUGGAAAACUGCAUUUUUUACCUUGACAUCUCCUCCAUUCUAGUUUUUCAGGAUUGAUGAUUGGGGUAAGCGUAAAAACUUUUCAGUGGUUUCUUAGAUAAGAUACCAAAAGCACAAGCAACAACAAAAGAAAAAAUACAUAAAGUGAACUGCAUCAAACUUUAAAACGUUUGUGUUUCAAGGAACAGCACCAAGAAAGAGAAAAGACAGCUCACAGGAUGGGAGAAAAUAUUUGCAAAUCAUGUAUCUAAUACACCUCAGUAAUAAAAAUGCAACCCAACUAAAAAAUGGGCAAAAUCUCUGAGUAGAAAUUUCAACAAAGAAAAUAGAAAGAUGACCAAAAGCACAUGAAAGGACGCUUAGCACCCUUAAUCAUCAGGGAAUGGUAAAUCAAAACCCCCGUGAAAUACCCCUUCACAUGCACCAGGGUAACUAUAAUCAGAAAGAGAGAUAACAACAAGGAUGUGGAGAAGGAGUCCCCAGACACUGCUGGUGGGAAUGUCAAGCGGUGCCAUCACUUCGGAAAAUAGUCUGGCAGUUUCUCAGAUGGUUGAAGAUAGAGUUAACAUCUGCCCCCCAGUAAUGUCACUGCCAGGUGAAUUCAUUUCUCACCAAAGAGAAUUGGAAACACAUGUCUGCACAAAAGCUUGUAUACAAAUGCUCAUAGCAAUAUUAUUCAUAGCCAAAAUAUUCAUAUUCAUAGCAAUAGUAUUCAUAGCCAAAGAGCAGGAAGAAACCUUAAAUAUCCAUCAACUGGUGAGUGGAUAAACAAACGAUGAUUUAUCUGAAGAAUAUGAAACACUAAUUUGAAAAGAUCUCUGUACUCCUAUGUUCACUGCAGCAUUGUUUACAGGAGCCAAGAUAUGGAAGUAGCCCAAGUGUCCGUCCGUAG
This is a long non-coding RNA of Leopardus geoffroyi (Geoffroy's cat), 1529 nucleotides long. RefSeq lists it as uncharacterized. The record is from RefSeq and is a predicted model, not a curated record. Lineage: Eukaryota; Metazoa; Chordata; Mammalia; Carnivora; Felidae. The transcript has 3 exons.